This 492-nucleotide ribosomal RNA is filed under the name uncultured bacterium. RNAcentral's name for it is "partial 16S ribosomal RNA". It matches the Rfam family "Bacterial small subunit ribosomal RNA", at positions 29 to 507 of the family's 1533-position model. The record is from RNAcentral.
AGUGAACGCUGGCGGUAGGCCUAACACAUGCAAGUCGAACGGCAGCACAGUAAGAGCUUGCUCUUACGGGUGGCGAGUGGCGGACGGGUGAGGAAUACAUCGGAAUCUACUUUUUCGUGGGGGAUAACGUAGGGAAACUUACGCUAAUACCGCAUACGACCUACGGGUGAAAGCAGGGGAUCUUCGGACCUUUCGCGAUUGAAUGAGCCGAUGUCGGAUUAGCUAGUUGGCGGGGUAAAGGCCCACCAAGGCGACGAUCCGUAGCUGGCCUGAGAGGAUGAUCAGCCACACUGGAACUGAGACACGGUCCAGACUCCUACGGGAGGCAGCAGUGGGGAAUAUUGGGCAAUGGGCGCAAGCCUGAUCCAGCCAUACCGCGUGGGUGAAGAAGGCCUUCGGGUUGUAAAGCCCUUUUGUUGGGAAAGAAAAGCAGCAGGUUAAUACCCCGCUGUUCUGACGGUACCCAAAGAAUAAGCACCGGCUAACUUCGUG